UAGGGAAUCUUCGGCAAUGGGGGGAACCCUGACCGAGCAACGCCGCGUGAGUGAAGAAGGUUUUCGGAUCGUAAAGCUCUGUUGUUAAGGAAGAACGAGUGUGAGAAUGGAAAGUUCAUACUGUGAUGGUACUUAACCAGAAAGGGACGGCUAACUACGUGCCAGCAGCCGCGGUAAUACGUAGGUCCCGAGCGUUGUCCGGAUUUAUUGGGCGUAAAGCGAGCGCAGGCGGUUAGAUAAGUCUGAAGUUAAAGGCAGUGGCUCAACCAUUGUAGGCUUUGGAAACUGUUUAACUUGAGUGCAGAAGGGGAGAGUGGAAUUCCAUGUGUAGCGGUGAAAUGCGUAGAUAUAUGGAGGAACACCGGUGGCGAAAGCGGCUCUCUGGUCUGUAACUGACGCUGAGGCUCGAAAGCGUGGGGAGCGAACAGG
RNAcentral lists this ribosomal RNA (429 nucleotides) under Bacteroidota bacterium. RNAcentral describes it as "Bacteroidetes bacterium partial 16S ribosomal RNA". It matches the Rfam family "Bacterial small subunit ribosomal RNA", at positions 355 to 776 of the family's 1533-position model. The record is from RNAcentral. Lineage: Bacteria; Pseudomonadati; Bacteroidota.